GGAUUGGCUCUCGCGGACGCUGACGGACAGGGCAGGGGAGGGCCAAAGCCCGGUCUGACGGGCGCGCGCGGGGGCGCGAAAGCACGAGAGCGCGGCUGCGCGUGCGCGAGCGGCGGGGCUUUCUCCCGAGCCGUCGGAGGGAGCCGGAGCGCUUCUCCAGAGUUGGUGAUCGAUUGGUCGUAAUCCAACAUGCAGAAGUGAGUGAGUGGUGAAAAGCAGCAGAGCUGAUGGGUUGUGAGGAUGUAAGUGCGUUUGAAGGCUCUCACACCCUCUACUCCAGGCUAGUGACCCUAAUGCCAGAACGUCAGAAAACUACAGAAACAAGACGAUGGAGGAUGGAGAGGCUGCAGCCGGCCUCGGAGGAGCUGGAACGGGUUGCAGGUCCUUCUAGUUGUGGGACGUGGGACGCCGCCUCAACGUGGCCUGACGAGCUGGUGCCAUGUCCGCGCCCAGGAUCCGAACCCUGGACCACUGCAGUGGAGCCCUCAAACUUAACCACUCGGCCACGGAGCCAGCCCCAAGA
This 523-nucleotide long non-coding RNA is filed under the name Equus asinus (donkey). Its description in RNAcentral is "lncRNA (ENSEASG00005038015.1)". Lineage: Eukaryota; Metazoa; Chordata; Mammalia; Perissodactyla; Equidae. The record is from RNAcentral.